RNAcentral lists this ribosomal RNA (440 nucleotides) under uncultured bacterium. RNAcentral describes it as "partial 16S ribosomal RNA". It matches the Rfam family "Bacterial small subunit ribosomal RNA", at positions 338 to 795 of the family's 1533-position model. The record is from RNAcentral.
CCUACGGGAGACUGCAGUGGGGAAUAUUGCACAAUGGGGGAAACCCUGAUGCAGCGACGCCGCGUGAGUGAAGAAGUAAUUCGUUAUGUAAAGCUCUAUCAGCAGGGAAGAAAAUGACGGUACCUGAGUAAUAAGCCCCGGCUAACUACGUGCCAGCAGCCGCGGUAAUACGUAGGGGGCAAGCGUUAUCCGGAUUUACUGGGUGUAACGGGAGCGUAGACGGCAGUGCAAGUCCGGAGUGAAAGGCGGGGGCUCAACCCCCGGACUGCUCUGGAAACUGUACGGCUGGAGUGCAGGAGAGGUAAGUGGAAGUCCUAGUGUAGCGGUGAAAUGCGUAGAUAUUAGGAGGAACACCAGUGGCGAAGGCGGCUUACUGGACUGUAACUGACGUUGAGGCUCGAAAGCGUGGGGAGCAAACAGGAUUAGAUACCCCUGUAGUC